CCCCUGCUGCGGAUGUCAGGGCAGCACCUAGAAGAAGGGCUGUGCAGGGCCCCCCCUGCAUCUCCCCCCAUGAGCAGUUCAGCUGCACGCAGUACACAAGAGAUUCUGGAGGGAGAAGUGUGUGUGAAAGCUAUGUGAAAGCAUUCUCCCAUGACCAUGAAGCCUUCCUUCAUCAUACUCACGUCAAUGUCCCGAGCUUUUGUGUCUGGUAUAACAUCAGAUUCCAAGUGUCAGUGGAAAUGAAACCAGUUGCUUGAUUCCUUUUGGUUGUGGCCUGGUCAACGUGUUCAUGUGAAUCUCCUUUGUGGGUACUUUAACCUAGCUGUUAACCAGUUUAAGAUACACAGGUUAAUGACUGUUAAACUAAUGCACAAAAGGGUGAGCACGUUAACCAAUGUGCUAGUUGGAGGACUGAGACUCUUAUGACCUGAUUGUUCAUUAUAAGCCGGUAGAGGGCACACUGUGUGUGAAAUAGUAUUCUGGUUGCAGGGUACGGUGCAUGUUAGGUUACAGGAGCGAGUGGCUGAGGUUUCUCCUGAUCUAAAGGCCAAAUAGCACAUUAUCCUCACAGUUAUAUCAGUUUCUACUGUAAGUGAAUAAAAAGCAACAGAGAAUUUAUUUCAACUCUU
Molecule: long non-coding RNA, 629 nt
Organism: Carcharodon carcharias (great white shark)
Lineage: Eukaryota; Metazoa; Chordata; Chondrichthyes; Lamniformes; Lamnidae
Exons: 2
Source: RefSeq, a predicted model, not a curated record